Molecule: long non-coding RNA, 3151 nt
Filed under: Phascolarctos cinereus (koala)
Lineage: Eukaryota; Metazoa; Chordata; Mammalia; Diprotodontia; Phascolarctidae
Description: lncRNA (ENSPCIG00000020363.2)
Source: RNAcentral
GAGGAAUUUUUUCAUUUCUCACCAAUGGCUUUGAGGGGCACUCGGAGAGUGACAUCUGCCCAGACCAAUAAGGGCCAUCCUAUCCCCCGCGUCCCCCCUCCCCCCACCUCUUAUCUCUUCAGAGCGGUAAAUAAGGAAACCGGCAUGGGUGGAUUCGGUUAAUUAGACGGUGCUGAACGAAGGGAAGGGUGCUGGUGAGGGCGCGGCGCGAGAAGGAGGCUUCAAGCUGCCACAACCCUCCCCCACCCCUCCCCGCGGUGGUUGCGACAGAACGGGUUCAGCCGCCAUCAUGUUCUAGCUUUCCCCUUCACCUCAGUACGCGACCGAAAAAGCGGCCUCUGUGGGGGUCGGGGGCGUGGCCCCGUGAUUGGCGCAGGCGUGCCAGCCAAUCUCAGCUCGCUCAACGGGAAGGUCCCGGCCAAUAAGAGGCAGCGACGGCGGCGAGGAGCGAAGGGGCGGGCCGAGGGCUUGACGGGCAGUCGCACUGGGCCAGUGGGAGGAGGGCGGUGGCGGCGCGUGGCCAAUGGCGUGCCCGAGGAGGCGGGUCCCCGGCUGUUUGUGUUGUGGCCGGGGCGGGGGGAGGGAGGCGGAGGGGGAAAGUUUGUUUAUUUUGUUUUGAGUUUCUGGGUCCGCGGCGCUCGCGGAGGUGAAGAGGGAGGGAGUCGCCCCCGCCCCCUCGGGCCGCGUCUCCCACGCCGUCUCCUCGGCCGGCGGGGACUCAGCCCAGCGCGCCGCCGCCGCCACCGGCUCAGCGCCCGAAGCCUGGCGCAGCUUCUUCAGCGCCGAAGGGGGGAUUGGCCCCGGAGGCCCCCCCGCACUCCCUGUUCAUUCACCCGUCCUGGCCUGGUGACCCUGGCUCAAGCCCCGAACCGUCGGUUAACUCUUCAUCUCCUUGGCACCCCUUAGGGUCUAAGUGGUCAUAAGUGGACAGAAGAAAAGUCAGUCCACGGGCACGGCUGAAGUGCCUGCCAUGGGCCAGGUAUUGGACAAAGUACUGGGGAGGCAAAGGAUGGACAAAAGCAGCCCCUCGCUCUCAAAGAGCUUCCUUUCUAAUAGGGGAGCCAUAAAAAAACUUGGCUCCUGGCCCAGGGCUCUUUGGAAGCUGGUAACUUUGUGGGGGUCUCCUGGCAAGUUUGGCUUUCCCUAGCUUUGGGGUUGAGAGAGACUUUGAAAGGCCCCUGGUCCCCUCGUCGUUUUGGAGGUGAAAAGCUUAAAGGGUUUGCCGAAUUAGUGUCUCUGCAGGUGACUGGCUCCCAGAUCCGCAUCCGGCCACAUCUCUGUCCUGGGCUCUAGUCUCAGCUGGACAUCUCUGCUCUGGCAUUCCACGGCAUCUCAAAUCCACUUCAAAGUGAAACUCGCUCUGUCCCGUUCCCCCGGCCCCAAGUCACCCAGGUCCUUUGGAGUCAUGGGUAGUUCAUCGCUGUCCCUCCCCUCCUGGGGUCUGGUCAGGUGGCACGUCUGUGACAUAGUGUAUGUUGGGCUUGGCUUGGAGUCAGGAAGUCUUCGGUUCAAGGCCUGCCCCCAACCCUUGUCAAAUCCCUGAUCAAAUCACUUACCCUCUCUGGGCCUUGGUUUCUUCACCUGUAAAAUGAAAGGUCUGGCCUCAGUGACCUCAGAGGUCUCGUCUUCGUCCUCACACCACAGCCCUAAUCACUCCCCUCCCGCCUUCUUGCUGAGGCUCCUCACCCUUCCAGUUCCUGUUCCUUGCCGCAUGAAAGAGAUCUUCUGGGUUUGGCAGGUCUGACAGUGACUCGACUGUUCCAGAAACUUCAGUGGCUCCCUCUUGCCUCUAGGACAAAGGACAGCCUCCUGUUUGGCAUUUAAAACCCUGUUAACCACCUCUCAGGGUCACGAGGCUGUGACCCAACCAGUGCACUUGCUGUUUCUUGUACAUACCAUUCUGCCACCUCCUGGACAGGCCUGGGGCUUCCCCUCCAGGGCAGCUGGUCUGAUGCAGCAUCUGGGCUGAAAUCUUGGCUUCUUCCUACCUGUGCUGCGCUGGCCGCGUCCCUCAAACUCUCUAGGCCACGUAGGAUGUCCUCAGUUACCUAGCGCUGGGUCCCUUUCAGGCCUACACCUAUGGCCCUGUAUGAUUUUAAAGCCCCAGAUCUCCCUCACGUGCCCCACAUCAAGCUUGUUAGCAGCUGUGUUAGAAGAGGAGGCUCAAAAUGGGAAACUGUCAUAGAAUAAGGGUGACACUUGGGAAGGUCUAGUCAAGGAAUGGAAGACAUCAAGAAGGAUAAUGGUGCUCAGCGAGCAGACUGGACAUGGUAGCAGUUUUGUAGCCAUCUGAAAAUGCCAGGAGGCUGCUGGACCAGCGCUCGGUGCACCUGUGGACACAGAGCAUCCUUUUCUGUCGUGAUGAAAUGUGGAAGGAUGUUUGCUUCACCCUCAUCUCAUGUGUUUUAUAUCAAAAUAAGAGGAGAAGGAGAUAUUCGUUUGGGAGGAGAUGAACCCCUGAUUCACAUGGAAGCUCCCGCAGUAUGGUGGCAAUCCCAAGUGUCAGUGAUUCAGUGACCAGGCUUUGGGAGUAGGGGGACUGCAGUCCUCUCUUUGUGGUUCUGCUGCAAGAUUCUUGGUGUGGAGAUAGCUGACGACCAACCCCAGUCACACAGCACAGGUGCUUCCAGACAUUCUGAGUUGUGAGAGGUCCCAAGUGAGCUCCCUAAGCCAUUAUUGAAGGUCUUUGGGAGGUGUCUGGUGCUCCUAAGAAGGCUGCCACCCUUCAUGGGGCCUUCCUUACAGCGGCCCACCUCACCUUCCAUGCUGCCUAGUCAGUUACCUAGGUGGUGUCGUUCCACCCUGCCUCUCCCCACCGUCAGUGCAGGAUGGGGAGUGGCCCAAGUUGGGGCCACAGCUGGCAUGCCCCCCACCCCCAUCACGUGGAAAGGCUGCACCAGAUACUUCUACAAUGACUAGUACAUUUGUUUAGAAUCCAAAAUUGAGUGGUUUUGAAUACAAAUAAUUCGGAAUACUUUAGUUUAGUUGGCUUAUUAAAUGUCCAAUAGGCAUUUCUGGAAGGGGGGGUAGGGCUGGAACACAACCUAAUGAUUUUUGUUUGUAUGGUCUUUACCUGAGGCAAGUAUUACCUGGGAUGGGAAUCCGCCUGAAUACCAAUAAAGGGACCCUCAGUGUUUGUGGGUAGAUCCCA